AACGACUCUCGGCAACGGAUAUCUCGCUCUCGCAUCGAUGAWGAACRUAGCSAAUCCUGCCUGGGCGUCACAGAUGUGCUCUAAGUCGUCCAGCUAAGAUGUGCAGA
This 107-nucleotide ribosomal RNA is filed under the name Luxemburgia hatschbachiana. RNAcentral describes it as "5.8S ribosomal RNA". The record is from RNAcentral. Lineage: Eukaryota; Viridiplantae; Streptophyta; Magnoliopsida; Malpighiales; Ochnaceae.